UGCCUCCAGAAAGGGUUGAGAAGAUAAUGGAUCAGAUUGAAAAGUACAUCAUGACUCAUCUCUGUAAAUAUGCGUUCUGUCCAGAACCCCAGUGAGCCUGGAAGACUGGGUGCUAUGGGAAAUGUCAUCAAUCCAAUGCUAGUGAAAGAUGUGACUGGGGAAUGCUGAAAAAUGCGCACCCCUGGGAGGAAUGAGGAAAGAUGACAUCCACUGACUUGUUAUUUUUUUGAGAAGGAGUCUUGCUCUGUUGCCCAGGCUGGAGUGUGGUGGCACGAUCUCGGCUCACUGAUGAUGAGAAGAAAGAUCUUGCCAUUCAAAAGAGGAUCAGAGUGGAAGCUUCUCUGUGGUGUCAGAAAGACGAGGAAUGUGGUGACCUCACCUAUCCAUCUCCCUCAAGGCAGCUUUUGACCUGAACUGGUUAUUUCCUACUUGCCUCCUGGAGUUGCUAAUAAAAUAAACACUAAAGCUUCGCAGUUUCUAAAAAGACCAUGAAGCCCUGAGAGUAAUGAAAAGGUUCCUGAAAUUGAGGUCACUGUGGAAGGAGAAUCUAAUGCCUGAUGAUCUGUCACUAUCUCCCAUCACCCCCAGAUGGGACCAUCUAGUUGCAGGAAAAGAAGGUCAAGACUCCCAGUCAUUCUACAUUAUGCCUCAGCCAAGAUGUCUCACCCCACUCUCUCUGAUGCAACAAGAAGCCCCUGGAGAACGUUUCAGUCCCAUUUUGUACUUCUGUCAUGUGCUCAUCACAGUCUG
This is an RNA transcript of Homo sapiens (human), 750 nucleotides long. It is a transcript of the gene named general transcription factor IIi pseudogene 7, with no coding region annotated. NCBI's taxonomy places the organism in Eukaryota, Metazoa, Chordata, Mammalia, Primates, Hominidae. The transcript is spliced from 6 exons. The record is from RefSeq and is marked validated.